UUGGGGACUUGUCUGUGGAGGAGGAUGCCAGCAGUGAUGAUAUAUCUUUGGAUGGACUAGAGCAAGAACUGGAAGAAUGCAAAAAUGACGAUGUAGUUGCAAACAUACUAUUUGAAGGUACAAAAUUAAGGGAGUAUACAAAGGGGGUUGAGAACAAUUUACGGAAAGUUGAAUUGGACUUGAU
Molecule: long non-coding RNA, 184 nt
Organism: Quercus lobata
Lineage: Eukaryota; Viridiplantae; Streptophyta; Magnoliopsida; Fagales; Fagaceae
Exons: 3
Source: RefSeq, a predicted model, not a curated record